Molecule: unclassified non-coding RNA, 392 nt
Filed under: soil metagenome
Description: partial contains 5.8S ribosomal RNA, internal transcribed spacer 2, and large subunit ribosomal RNA
Rfam family: 5.8S ribosomal RNA (bases 1-120)
Source: RNAcentral
GAUGAAGAACGUAGCGAAAUGCGAUAAGUAAUGUGAAUUGCAGAAUUCAGUGAAUCAUCGAAUCUUUGAACGCACCUUGCGCUCCUUGGUAUUCCGAGGAGCAUGCCUGUUUGAGUGUCAUGAAAUUCUCAACCUUUUCAACUUUUGUUAGCUUGAGAAGGCUUGGACCUUGGAGGUUGCUGGAUUUUGCGAAUUCGGCUCCCCUGAAAUACAUUAGCACGACCUUUGCUGAUGCAUCUUUGGUAUGAUAAUUAUCUAUAUCAUAGAGAUAUUCAGUUCUCCUGUAUAGGGGAAGGUUGGCUUCUAAUCGUCUUACUAGACAAUCUUGACAAUUUUGACCUCAAAUCAAGUAGGACUACCCGCUGAACUUAAGCAUAUCAAUAAGCGGAGGA